Long non-coding RNA from Dermacentor silvarum, 7394 nucleotides. RefSeq lists it as uncharacterized. Lineage: Eukaryota; Metazoa; Arthropoda; Arachnida; Ixodida; Ixodidae. The transcript is spliced from 2 exons. The record is from RefSeq and is a predicted model, not a curated record.
UCGAUAAGCCAACGACCCGAAAGGUUAUAAAGAUAAGUGUACAUAUCGCGUAAAUAGAAUAUCGAUUCACGCUACAAAAAUAUUGGUACAGCAAAAUGCACGCACACAAAGACAAACUUAACGCCAUUAACAAGGAAGGUUUCGACGAACUAAAAAUAAGAAUUGGACUAGUUCUGGGAAUAUAGCGUGGCUGCUGAAGUGUUUUAUGUUUUUCCGCUGUUUUUCCCUUCCUUAAUAUUUUCCUUUUAGCAUCCACUCGUUUCUGCCGCCUGCAAUGAUGAGUAUAAUUUCAUCGGGCAGGAUAUGGCAACUAUAGCGGCAGGUAGUCGAUUCCAAUCACGUAUCGGGAAAAACUGCGACAUUUUGUGGCACGGACACGUGCUGAAUGUCAAAGUUUUUCAUGUCAAUCACCACAGCAUGUCCACGUGUAGCUUGGAAUUGAGAGCAUAGGCCGCUGAAACAGUCUGCCAGCAUUCACAUCCCUCAACCCCGUCGCAGAUUGUGUGAGCGGCAAACAGCGCAAAGCAGUGUAACCAGUGCAACGGUUGAGUGAUUGAUAAUUGGGUUUUAAUGACGCUAGGGUAAUCAGUGCAACGGAUCAUUACAUGAUGCCCCCUUCCGCAUUGUCGGCUACCCACUAUAAAUAAAGCUGUUGUCGAUGUCGAAAAAUCACUGCAAUGUCGGAAAAUCACUGCACUAGCCGCCCAGCGCAGCGUCACCCAACUUCAAAUUGACGCUUACGAAAAAGCCCUUCCUUUGACGCUGCUUAUGGGAUAUUCCUUCAACCAAUCAUCAAGCUGACAUGGCGGCUAUCUUGGACCACGACCACAUAUUCGCAAUAUUGCAGAUGCAUUGCACGGGCUUCUGCAAGCUACCACUCACUUUCUUUUGAAGCGCUAACGUCGCAAUAUAUAGCGCGAAUUUGCAGCUCCACGUCACGUUUCGUCAUCUUGAUGAAAACGCAAAAUUUCAUUUUGCAAAACUUCCGCUUCGAAGCACGAAUUUCAAAACAUAUGCCCUCUCGAUAGCCAAUCAGACAGGAAAAAAAGUGGAUAAUGCCGGCUGUGCGAAUGAACACGCACGCGACGAAGCUGAUGGCGUCAUUUCUGCUUAUGCUGGCAAUCCAAAGCCGACGCUUGUCUGACAAUAAGAGACUGAUAAAUGACAAAAAUAUACGAAGGUGCAGUUCGUUCAAUGUCCCGCGUGAGCUCUGUAUGCUGAUUACAUGUUUGUAAUAAAUUAUAGCAAGCCGGUGACGUCCAACAUAUCUCUGGUGGGCGAGCCUGACUGUUGCGCUCCGAACGACGUCUACAUGCGCUGUAGCUCGUGGACACUGAUCGCAGUGCAUGUCGAGUUCUUGGCGCAAUUGAGUAAGAUUGUAGCUCCUUGAAGUAGAGGGAAAUGUGCUUGCACUUGAAGCUAGUGCAUGCGGAGUGAAAAAUGCGUGUUGCGAGUUGUGGUUGGUGGAUUGCGCUCACAGGAGACGCACUGUUUGUAUGAAGUCAGUUUGUUUCUGGUGGCUGGACAUGUGCGUUUUCUGAAAAGAGUACUCGUAGCUCCUUGUUUUUGAGGCGGUGUUUCUGUAGCUUUGGUAUGCCAGAAACUUUCACCUGUCCUUGUGGUCGUUGCUUGCACUGUUGUCGCAUUUGUGGUGUUGAAGAAACCUUUGACGACGUUCAUUCCUAGGAAACUCACAUACUACUUGCGUCUUCGGUUCAGUUGACUUUGCGCAGAUGUCUUCUUGGUAUGGCUUCUGCUCUUUCAACGGCACUAGUUUUCCACGUCGUCGUCAUCUGUGUCGGAUUCGUCCUUGCAUUAGCCGAACUUGUUCUUGGUGUUGGUGGCAGCAAGCUUGGUGCUGUGGCUUGUCUGACGGUGAGGCCCAUAUGUUAGGCUCCUCAGAAAACCUUCCUGCUGUAAUGCCACUAGUGAUGGACGUCUCUAUUAUAGGUGGCACUAUGAGACAUUUGUUACUGCUGGUGAUGCUUCAAUGGCAGAUGGUUGUUGGGGGCUAGUGCUCGGAAGACUGCUCAGAUGUGGCGAAGCAGUUUCAAGUCAACAGGUGAGCUGUUCAUAAGUUGCUGUUCAUAAGUUGCUGUUCAUAAGUUGCUGAUAAGAGCGAAUGGUUUUCCUUGUGUAAUGAACAUGAGCUCUUGCUGGUUUCCUUGUGUUGUCUUGGCAGGAAAGCAGUCUGAUUCAUGUCACCGCUGGAAGUAAUAGCUGGGAUAUUUUCUUGGUUGGUGUGGAAGGUACCGUUGUCUGAGUCCAUGCAGCCUGCAAUCCUGGAUGCUCGAUCACUGAACAAUGCCGCAGCGGAUGUGGUUUCAUCAUGUGCUUCCAGUAAUAAGUCUGUCUCGAAACAUCGGGUUCUCAUGCGGGUAUUAAGCGAUCCUGUGUGGCAUGGACUAACCUGCAGGUGGUAGGCUGGGCGUACGAGAUGAAGUAAACGCAUCAGAUGCUUCAACGAUGACAGGAGUCCGAUAGCAUGAUAAAGGCGCAUAUAUUGGCAAUUUCUGCACGGAAUUGUAGCCUGGUGAAAGGUUGGGUCUUGAAGAAAAGCGACGUGGAUAUUUCUCAGUGAACGAAGGCUUUGUCCAUUGUGCGAGGUGAAACCAUACUAGGCAUGUCAUUCUAUUUAGUUUUUCGGGAGAAUCACUACAUGUCGAACUUGUCAGCGAUCUACUAACACGGGGCUUUGUUUGCUACUGAUGAUGAAUGCUACGUGAACACUGAGUGUCACUGCCGUGACCCAGUUGAAAUGUAUCCAGCUGGUGGAUAAUGGAGGGGUUGCAUACUUUAAAUCGGCUGACCAUUUCGUCAUUGAUUUCGUUCCACGAUUCGCCGUUUACAAAUAUGAGCACCACGUAAAAACAGAAGGCCUCACCGGUGGCGUAUUCGUUGAAGUUUGUGACCAUCUCCCGUUCCGACCAGCAUUCAGCUGUUGCAUAGAGCUCGCAAUGGUGGAAACAGCCCUCUACGGGCCCAUCGUUCGUUGAUCCGACGUACUUGGGGACGUCCAAGGCUUCCGACGAUGCAGUCAUGGUGCUGGAUUGUAUAGGUGGUGGGAGUCUGCGUUGGGGUUUCACGGCUAGGUGUUGAAGAUUCCUUGGUGAUGUGAGGCCUAUGAAGUUGCUGCCAGGUACACAUAUGUGUACACAAGUACACAUAUCCUGUGUACUUGUGUGACACGAGCACGAGGUUACGGGCGUACACAAACAUUAUCGCCCGAACACUGCCUUCAUUUUUCCUCUACGUCUCCUUUCCAGACACCGUCAUUCCGUGCACCGUUACGUACAUAUAGUAUAACUCCGGUCUCUUGUUAUUGCGCAGAUACCCUUUUGAGGUUUGAUUACAACCUAUGACAAACUUGAUAAAUCUUUUCCCGGCCCUCUCGAUAUUAGAGCUGUCCGCCAACUUCAAACUUUGAGUCUGACUCGAGAAAGUUAACCUUCCAUUAGCCCAUGUGUACAUAUUUUCUGGAGCACAGAAAUCAGUUCAUAUCAUUUUUCACAACCUUGGAGUGCCUGGAAAAGAAAUUUGUGAUUGCCUUUACGGAGCGGUGCAUAUAUUGCCACUGCAAAUCUUCAUCUCGUAUCCUGAGUCUGUUAUCCAGAAAUUGAAGUUGUCUGUUAGGAGGUAACGCCAGAGGUAAAGUUCAAAAUUUCCAACCCUUUCCCCUUUCCCAUGUGUAGGGCGCGUCCUUGGUUAAUCUCUCUGCCUUUCCUUCUCAUCACUUUCUCUCUGUCUCUCUCAGACGAAAAGCUGCAUUUCCUGAAAUCUUUAAGAUAUCAACAACGUUAUGGUAUAGGUCACAUUUGUCUGUGGUGACUAGACAAUCAUCGAUGUACCGAAAUACACUCUUCAGCCAUGCCACCAAAAUUCUUGGCGAUACAUCUGUCAACGCGACUAAGAAAAUUAGAACUUCUGGUAACUGUUGCUAAUCCAUACGUGAGGGAUCCCUCCUUAGGCAAGUGACAGCGACAGCAUAAAGGAAGAAAAGACCGGAGCAAGCGUGGACCGAAACAGAUGGCCACCACGGUUCGGACCCGGGAAUUCCUCACAAACUUAAAACUGGGGUGCACCUUUGAGCCGAUACAGACCACAGAGUUUUGCAUAAACGUCUUCUCAUUCCACACAACACAUGUAGAACAUGUAGAACGUAAAUGGAGCAGCAGUUUUUCCAGAAAUAUUUCCAAAGUAGUUGCAGAGUUAACAGUGAAUUACCUCCAUCAUUCUCCUCAACCAAACAUGACAACGCUCUGCAAUAUUUCAUCAUCUGGAAGUGAAUAAAACAAGUCUUCAAUUUCUAUAAUAAAAACCGAAUAAGAACGGGAGCUAUGGGCUCGUGUUGGCAAAGUCCCGUAUUAACAAAAAGCUCUGUGAAUUUUGCCCCCGUGUCUUAUGAAAGCUAACCACACAAUUCGGACGCUCGGACAGCGUUGUUAUAAUACAACUCUGACUACUCAAAUCUAAUCCUAGAAAGUUCUGUCAAAUUCAAUCUCCUGAACGCCAUACUAAUGACAUUCCGUUAAACAAUGAAAGCAACACCCCUAUUCCUAACAGUGAGUGCGUACAAGUUUUCAAUAACUUCUUUUCAUCCGUAUUCACGAAAGAAACUAUCACUAAUUUGCACAUUGUUGUAGACCGAGGUUACCGAUACAUGAAAUCUAUUGACAUUACUAUUGAUGGUAUAACUCAGCUGAUAAAUAACUUGAAAGUUUCGUCUUCAGCAGGUAUUGACAAUAUUAAUUGUAAAUUACUAAAAAACACCGUCUCAGUAUCCCCCCUAGCAGGUUUUUAUUCCAUAUUUUUGAUCAAUCUUUAAUGACCGGUCAGAUUCAUGAAGAUUGGAAAAUCGACAGUCAUACCCAUUUUGGAAGAUGAUAACAAAAACCUGGCUGAAAACUACCGACCGAUAUCGCUGACUUGCAUAUGUUAUAAAAUCAUGGAACACAUUAGAUUUCAAGUUUAUCAUCACCUAGAAUCAAAGAACUCCUUUUUUUCAUGCUCAGCAUGGUCUCAGGAGAGGUUUGUCGUGCGAAACGCAAUUGCUUUUAUUUACGACAGAUCUACAUUUUAACAUGGACUCAAACAUUCACACUGACUGCGUCUUUCUAGAUUUUUCUAAAGCUUUUGACCGCGUAGUCCAUUGUCGCCUAUUUUUGAAACUAUCAUCCUUAAAACUUGAUUCACUAGCUUUACCCUGACUUCGAAAUUUUCUUUCAAACAGGGCAGCAGUUUACCUUCGCUAACAGCUUUUCUUCGCCCCUUUCCGAUGUUUCUUCGGGUGUACCACAAGGAAGCGUUCUUCAUCCCUUACUCUUUAUUAUCUACAUUAAGACCUACCUAAUGGCUUAUCAUCAUGCAUGCGCAUAUUCGGUGAUGACUGCAUUAUCUAUCGUCCCAUUAACAGCUCUAAUGACCACCAGAUCCUCCAAAAGGAUCUUAACCAAAUCGCUAAUUGGUGUGACACCUGGCUAAUGACUCUAAAUUAAUCUAAAUGUAAAGUGAUGUCCUUCAGCCGCAAACGCUCGAACUCAUACUAUUCUUACUAGAUCAAAAAUGUCAUUAUCUCAGGUCUCAUCAUUAAAAUAUCUAGGCGUAAAUCUUUCAUCAAACUUCUUCUGAGCUUCCCACAUUGCCACCGUCUGCGCCAGUGCUUCUCGAUCACUGGGUUACCUGCGCGGGAACCUUCAAAACUCACCUACAUUUAUCAACCUGGCAUUUCAAACUUUCGUUCGCCCACAGCUUGAGUUCGCCGCUCCGGUCUGGUCUCCACACCAAAAUUACUUAAUUAACAUGCUGAAAUCAAUCCAGAAUAGAGCCGCAUGGUUUAUUUCCCGACAUUAUGACUACCAUUCUAGCGUAACUCCAAUAAAGCUUCAUCUUUCACUUUAGCUGCUAAGUAAUCGACGCGACAUAGCCCUUUUGUCAUUGUUUCACAAGUACGCCCACCACACUAACAAACGCUCCCUACGCCUAGAAACUUUAUCGCACACCGGUCACACAGAUUACACAAUCAUCUUAGCUUCACGCGCAUCCGCGGUAAAACUGAAGCAUUCAACACGUCUGCAAUUCCACGCGCGAUUCGUCUCUGGAACAGCCUCCCCGAUAGCAUAGUUGCGGAAACUGACCGCGAUAAAUUCAGGCACUGACUCCAAUUGCUUAUCCCUUGUUAUUCAUACUCACUGUCUGGUAUUUUUUUUUUCUAGUCUUACAGCGUGAGCUGUUAUGGACUCAUUCCAAUCGCAGUUUCGGUUGGCGAUGGUGUCUGCCGCCGCCGCCUGCGGUGUCCGGGGUCCGUAACCGCUAUCGCCGGAAAUGAGAAAAAAAGUACCCAGUUCCCGCCGGGUUUGAAUUGAAUUGAAUUGAAUGAACUUUAUUUCUCGUACAAACGAGGGGAGACUGUGUCUAAAGGCACAAAGGCCUGGCAGAGGUCCCAGCCUCACAAUUACAACAGCGGUGAUAACCAAUGCAAAUGAAUACAUAUACAACGUACAUACAUCUCGCACGAGAGAACAGAAUUUCAGUAACAAUAACGCAUGAGAGAACAGAAUUUCAGUAACAAUUACAACAUUUGUUCAUUGGAUUGAGUAAACCAAAAAAAAACAUUAGCACAAAUGGUAUCUAUAUGAAUUUUUAUGUCAUACAUGCAUACGUACAGAUGUGAAAGAAACAAAAUAUCAAUAAUUAGUGAAAGCAAUGUCAUCGGCGAGUAAUAAUGCGCUAAGCCCUCUUUUGAACGAGCUUUCACAAGCGCUAAAAUUUAUCAGUUCUCCUACCUUGUUCAAUAUUUCUGUCGAUUGAUAUAGGAAUGUUUGUUUUCCAUAAUUUGUUCUUGUUUUUGGAAUAUGUGCCUGGUUUUCUGGCGUAGUGGGUAACGAGAUAUUUCAUCAUUGUCCGUUUUGGUGAAUAGUUUUUGUUUAUGUAUGGUGACCAGAAGCUUCUUAUAAUAUAUUCUGUCUGCUCGAAGAAGGGGGUAACGCUGGAAUAAUGGAGCUGUUUCAAGGUGUACAAAACGGCCAUGGUAAUUGCAGUACAUACGAAGAAUUCGUUUCUGUAAAAGAAUUAAUUUCUUGUAGAUUGUUUUUGAAGUUGUACCCCUUACCAAGACCCCGUAGCAGAGUUUAGAGUAAAAGAGAGCAUUGUAUAACUGUUGUUUGAGCCAAAGCGGAAUUAGAUGGUUUAUUCUAUUAAUAAUAACGACCUAUUUAGAAAGGUCAUUGCAAAGCAUCCUUAUAUGUGAACCCCAGGAUAAAUGUUCAUCAAACCAUACGCCUAAGAAUUUUUGUUCUUGGACAUGGUUAAUUGUCAUUUCAUUGAAAUAAAUGUCAAUGUCAUUGGGUAUGUUCUUGUUACGAGCUCUGAAUAAAAUGUAUGUUGUCUUUGCAGUA